Molecule: RNA transcript, 2481 nt
Organism: Cannabis sativa
Lineage: Eukaryota; Viridiplantae; Streptophyta; Magnoliopsida; Rosales; Cannabaceae
Exons: 8
Source: RefSeq, a predicted model, not a curated record
AUAUAUAUAUUGUAUUUGGUGCAUGUGUUUGUAUUCUUGUUUUAAAAUCGAGAAAGUUUGAGUUUUUGUGGGUUAAUCUUAGUUGGGGUUUGGUGUGUUUGGCAAGAAAGUUUGUGGGUUUGGUUUUAAAAUCAAGGUUGUUUUCUUUCUGGGUAAGAGUGAUUUGUUGUUCAAAGAAAGAAAACCCUAAUCACUAAAGGACUUGUCUUUUUUACUCUUUGACCACAUUUUGUACUAUUGUAUUAAUUGUAUUAAUUUUGUGUCGGAAUAAAAGCUGAAAAUUUUUUAAAAUUCCAAAAAUAUCUAUACAUUGUAUAUAUAUAUGUUUGGUUGGAAUAAUUUUUAAACAAUUUUUGGUACUUUUAUUAUGUUGAUGGAGUUGAGAUUGCUUGGAUUUACUACAUGAUUUAAUGAUCUUAUUCUUAAUAUUUUUUUUGGAGUAUAUAUUUCAGGUAGCUAUGGCUGAAGACAUCUCUAUCUUUUGUUUGAUGCAAACCAAAGUUGCAUUAUGUAAUCACAGCAAUUCAAUAAAUCAUCUCAUUUCAGAAGUGGUUCGAAGUCUCCAUCUCCGGCCAAGAAAAACACUAAAAAAUCUAAGAAACCUCCGACUGUUUCAUCCAAAGUCGAAGCUAAGAUGGUGUUGAAAAAAAUUGCUAAGAAAUUAGUGGGUGAUGUUCCAGAUACAUCGGGCACUAAGAAAAGAGCCAUUCCAGUUAAGGUCGACGCUCCUAAGCCUAAGAGAGCUAAAAUUUCGAAGUCUGAACGCAAUAUUCUUAUUUUGAGGAAGAAGUGCAUGCUGAGGGACAAAAGCCUAAACUUAAAUCGAAGGAAUGGGAUUACAUUUAUGAUCAGAAGAAUCUCUUCAUUGCGAAAGCCUUUUCGACUACUACAUUCCUAGGUUAUAGAAAAUAUUAAGUCUUGCCUUUCACCUGAACAGCUUGAAAUGUUUUCCAAAACCUGUUUUGGACAUUUCCUUAAGCUUCCUGAUUUUAAAGUUCAACCGCAAGUGUUUCAUGGGUUGUUGUUGCGGGAGGUUCAGCAAGCUAAUGAUGUUGAGUUGUGGGUAAUGAUACGCGAUGUUAGGAUUAGGUUUAGCAUUGAGGAGUUUGCUUUGAUUACUGGUUUAGAUUGUUAAGGUGAUUGUAGUGUUUUAGAUUCUAAGCAAGACGUUAAUAGUCUUUGUGAGAAAUAUUGGCCAACUUCAUCCUCUAUCACUAAAGAAUCUGUUAGGGAAUGUUUUACCACCAAGAGGUGGGGUGAUUCUGAUGAGGAUGGUGUUAAGUUGGCAGUUUUGUAUUUUGUGGAAUGGUUUUUGCUUAGUGGCACUAAGCAUAAAAAUGUACCUAGGUCUAUUUUAGAUGUUGUAGAUAGUGGGAGGUACGAUGAAUUUGCUUGGGAACGAAGUUCUUUUGAACUGACUAUUUCGUCAUUGAAGGGUAAGCUUAACAGUUGGGUUGAAGGUGUUAGGAAGGCAAGGAGUUCGGGGAAGAGGCCGAGUGUUUUUUACACUUUGAUUGGUUGUCCUCAUGUUUUUCAAAUUUGGUUUUAUGAGUGUUGUAAGUACAUGAAAGGUAAGUAUUGCCAAAAGGAAAAUUCUCGUAUUCCAAGGAUUAUUCAGUGGACAUGCAACAGUCAGCCGACUUUCAAAGUUUUGAAGACUACUAUUUUUGAUGUUUCCAAAGAUAAGCUGGAACUAUCAAAUAUGAGACCCACUGCUGCUGAGUUCAAAGCUUUGAAAUUGAGCAGUUUCAAGUUUGACACUGACUACAAUUCUUACAAGAGUGUUCCUGUUCCUGAAGAGCCUUCUGCUGCUCAGAGUGACAUUUCUGUCAAGCUUGAUGCUUUUUCUGAGAAAUUUAAUGGUUUGGAGGUGAAGAUUGAUUUGCUGCAUACUUCCCAACAGAAGAUUUCUUCCGAUUUGGUUGAGUUGAAAGAGUUUUUGUCUGCACAGUUUGUUUCUUUUGGUGCUCAGAUGGCUUCAAUGCAGACACCGUUUUCUACUGUUUUUGCCGAUUCUUAUGCUAAGGGUCCACUGGCUCAACCGCCUUCAAGACGUGAUGCGUCGAGGGGAAAGCUCCGAUGCUUUCUCCACAAGGCGGUGGUGCACGGGAAGAUGAAUUGUUCUCGAAAAAGAAGAUGGACUUGAUCCCUAAAUCGCUAAAAUGGAUGGUUGUUGAAUUCCUGAACCUCAAAGAUAAACGUGAUAUAAUCACAAUUCCUGUACCCCGAGGAUUCAUAGCACCACGUACCCAAAUCACGUUAUCUGGAGAGGAUUUGCAGCAGGCCUUAGGUUGCUACGUGUGACUUCAUCGGCAACCAGGGAAUGCUGUUUGGAAUGAUGCACAUCUGGGAGAGCAUCAACGGUAUGAGAAAUUUUUUCAAGUUUUACGACCCAGAGCUUCUCGUAGUGAAUGGAAAAACCAAUGAAGAGAAGAGUCAGUCUUUUGACAAUGCGACAAGACGAUUGGCUGAUUGGUUAUC